Oncorhynchus tshawytscha (Chinook salmon) is the source of this 1030-nucleotide long non-coding RNA. The record is from Ensembl. NCBI's taxonomy places the organism in Eukaryota, Metazoa, Chordata, Actinopteri, Salmoniformes, Salmonidae.
ACCCCACUAUCCCUCCAUCCCCACUAUCCCUCCAUCCCCACUAUCCUCCAUCCCCACUAUCCCUUCAUCCCCACUAUCCCUCCAUCCCCACUAUCCCUCCAUCCCCACUAUCCCUCCAUCCCCACUAUCCCUCCAUCCCCACUAUCCCUCCACCACCCUAAGACAACAUCAACACUAAGCUAUAUUUAUUACCAUAGUCUUUCUUUUUAUUUUUGUGCACAAAGUCAACUUGCUACAUGAAGGAGGAGUCACUAUAUUAUAUCUCUCAGUCGGAGGAAGAACACUGAAGGUGUGUGUGUGUGUGGCGCGUGCCUGUGGCUACUAUCGGCCUACUGAGCACCAAGGGAUCAAUAUGCCACCAGAGAAAAGACAGACCUGGGUUCAAAUAUUAUUUGAAAUCUCUCAAAUAUUUUGAGCCCGUCUGGAGUGCCAGAUGGUCGGGCAGGAUUUGUACUUUUCAGACUAUUGCAUUGGUUCCGUUGUACCAAGCAGCUCAAUGAAAGAUUACAAAUACUAUUUGAACCCAGGUCUUAGCUCAUUGCGAUGGCUGGAAUGGAAAUAAUGUAACGGUAUAGAUAAAACUUACUUUUACCCACCAUAAAGCACCACAAUCAUAAGCUUGUUAGUAAUACCAGCGCAAACUCACACACCACACACUCACAACACAAAGGUUUUGAGAGAACGUUCAUCUUAUGUAACGAUCACUCGUCUUACCUAUUGCAUAUUUAUUUGUUUUAUAUAUUUAUUCAAUUUCUAUACUGUAAGGUCAAGUUUCAUGUUGAGAACACACACGUCUCUGCUGUGAAAACUUUCCUGGACCAUCCAUUCACCCGUGUAUUUUUACGCAUUGAGCCAAAGGAGCCAAAGACGUGUGUUCUAGAAGAUUCCACUGCCAUCCUGUGAUAUGAUAGGUGUGAUUCACAUUUCCAAAAUAACCCGUUUUGUAUGUACAGCAGAGGAGGCUGGUGGGAGGAGCUACAGGAGGACGGGCUCAUUGUAAUGGCUGGAACGGUAUCAAAGACAUUGAAAU